CAAUAGCGUAUAUUAAAGUUGUUGCGGUUAAAAAGCUCGUAGUUGGGUCUCGGCAGGCAGGGGGUGGUUCGCUCUUAGCGCUACUGCCCCAUUUGCCUGUGUGAUUGGCGGAGGUUUCGGGGUGCUCUUCGUUGAGUGACCCGGGGCGCCGUCAGGUUUACUUUGAAAAAAUUAGAGUGCUCAAAGCAGGCUUUUCACGCUUGAAUAUUCGUGCAUGGAAUAAUGGAAUAGGAACUCGUUUCUAUUUUGUUGGUUUUCGGAAAUCGAGUUAAUGAUUAAUAGGGACAAUUGGGGGCAUUAGUAUUCAGACGACAGAGGUGAAAUUCUUGGACCGUCUGAAGACUAACUACUGCGAAAGCAUUUGCCAAGAGUGUUUUCAUUAA
This 383-nucleotide ribosomal RNA is filed under the name uncultured eukaryote. Its description in RNAcentral is "partial 18S ribosomal RNA". It matches the Rfam family "Eukaryotic small subunit ribosomal RNA", at positions 592 to 976 of the family's 1831-position model. The record is from RNAcentral.